This 447-nucleotide ribosomal RNA is filed under the name uncultured bacterium. RNAcentral describes it as "bacterial SSU rRNA". It matches the Rfam family "Bacterial small subunit ribosomal RNA", at positions 329 to 793 of the family's 1533-position model. The record is from RNAcentral.
AUCCAGACUCCUACGGGAGGCAGCAGUGGGGAAUAUUGCACAAUGGGGGAAACCCUGAUGCAGCGACGCCGCGUGAGCGAUGAAGUAUUUCGGUAUGUAAAGCUCUAUCAGCAGGGAAGAAGAUGACGGUACCUGACUAAGAAGCCCUGGCUAACUACGUGCCAGCAGCCGCGGUAAUACGUAGGGGGCAAGCGUUAUCCGGAUUUACUGGGUGUAAAGGGAGCGUAGACGGCGAUGCAAGCCAGAUGUGAAAGCCCGGGGCUCAACCCCGGGACUGCAUUUGGAACUGUGUGGCUGGAGUGUCGGAGAGGCAGGCGGAAUUCCUAGUGUAGCGGUGAAAUGCGUAGAUAUUAGGAGGAACACCAGUGGCGAAGGCGGCCUGCUGGACGAUGACUGACGUUGAGGCUCGAAAGCGUGGGGAGCAAACAGGAUUAGAUACCCUAGUAA